This 326-nucleotide long non-coding RNA is filed under the name Physcomitrium patens. RNAcentral's name for it is "long non-coding RNA (PPAT_LNC002241)". Lineage: Eukaryota; Viridiplantae; Streptophyta; Bryopsida; Funariales; Funariaceae. The record is from RNAcentral.
AUUAUAAAAAAAUCUCAAUAGAAAUCUCAAUAGAAAUCUCAAAGUUAUAUCAAAUAAAUAUUUUUAAAAUAUUAAAAAAAGAAAUCCUAAAUAAAUCCUUAUCAAAUCUUAAUAUAAUCUUAAAAAAUUCUAAUAUAACUUUAAACCAAUCUAAUCAAAUUCUAAUCAAUUUCUAAAUCCUAAAUCAAAUGAUAAUCAAAUCUUAAAUCUUAAAUCAAAUCCUAAACAAAUCCUAAUCAAAUUUUAAAUCCUAAACUAUAAACUAAAUCCUAAUUAAAUCUUAAAAUAAACUCUAAAAAAAACCUAAUUAAAUCCUAAACCAAAUC